Molecule: ribosomal RNA, 520 nt
Filed under: uncultured bacterium
Lineage: Bacteria
Description: bacterial SSU rRNA
Rfam family: Bacterial small subunit ribosomal RNA
Source: RNAcentral
CCAGAGAACUUAGCAGAGAUGCUUUGGUGCCUUCGGGAACUCUGAGACAGGUGCUGCAUGGCUGUCGUCAGCUCGUGUUGUGAAAUGUUGGGUUAAGUCCCGCAACGAGCGCAACCCUUAUCCUUGUUGCCAGCGGCUCGGCCGGGAACUCAAAGGAGACUGCCGGUGAUAAACCGGAGGAAGGUGGGGAUGACGUCAAGUCAUCAUGGCCCUUACGGCCAGGGCUACACACGUGCUACAAUGGCGCAUACAAAGAGAAGCGACCUCGCGAGAGCAAGCGGACCUCAUAAAGUGCGUCGUAGUCCGGAUUGGAGUCUGCAACUCGACUCCAUGAAGUCGGAAUCGCUAGUAAUCGUAGAUCAGAAUGCUACGGUGAAUACGUUCCCGGGCCUUGUACACACCGCCCGUCACACCAUGGGAGUGGGUUGCAAAAGAAGUAGGUAGCUUAACCUUCGGGAGGGCGCUUACCACUUUGUGAUUCAUGACUGGGGUGAAGUCGUAACAAGGUAGGCGUAGCGAG